This 21-nucleotide microRNA is filed under the name Xenopus laevis (African clawed frog). Its description in RNAcentral is "Xla-Mir-726-P1_3p (mature (guide))". The record is from RNAcentral. Lineage: Eukaryota; Metazoa; Chordata; Amphibia; Anura; Pipidae.
UUCACUACUAGCAGAAUUCGG